AUUCAAGUUGUGUUCUGUCCUGUGGUGUGAACCCUAAGAAAGUUUACUAUGUGCUAAACCCAGAUGGAAACCUACCUGACACUGAGAAUCGCUUUAAAGAAUGGUUUACUGGUGAGCGAGCGUGGCAGGGGGUUUGUGGAACUGCUCCUGACCCAGAUAAACUACAAGAGGCUGUGACCACCAAAGACCUUUACAUUUACAUAGGACAUGGUGCAGGAGCCCGGUUUCUGGAUGCUCAGAGGGUUUUGAAAGGGCCUGUGCGGGCAGUAGCUCUUUUGUUUGGCUGCAGUAGUGCUGCUCUCAGUGUCCUUGGCCACCAGGAAGGAACAGGAAUCAUCCUCAGCUACUUGACAGCAGGAUGCCCAUUAGUGCUCGGUAACCUGUGGGACGUGACAGAUCGUGAUUUAGAUCGGUUCACGUCGGCUCUGCUCCAGUCCUGGCUCUCUGCUGGUUCUGGCUCCUCCCUUCUUCAGCAUUUAGCCCAAUCACGUAACGCCACACAUUUAAAACAUAUAAUUGGUGCUGCACCCAUUGCCUAUGGUUUGCCUGUGUAUAUUCACUAGCCCGGAUUUGAACUUUUUUAUUAUUCACUGCUAAUGUAGUACAUUUUUAAUGUGUAAAUGCAACUAUCUAUUAUUUAUGGUCUCAGGGCUUGUUUACAAUGCAAAAAAUAAGCUCUGCCUAUAUGAAAAUGAACCUAGGAAAUCUAGGAUUAAAUCUAACUUGGGCCUAGUUGACAAACUCAAAGUGUUUAGCCAUUUUGAAGUCCUCAUUUAAUUUCUGCCGUGUUGUUGUGUGGUUGCAGUUGCUGAUUUAGUAACCUCAAUAUGUUUUACUCCAGUAUUUGAAGUCACAUGUUUUUGAUGUGUAAGUUCUUUCUUGUAUUUUCAUUUUUAUUUCCUCCAAGUUAUAUCAAAUGCCAAACUGCUUUAAAAUAAAAUGAUUUUAU
Sinocyclocheilus grahami is the source of this 949-nucleotide long non-coding RNA. RefSeq lists it as uncharacterized. The record is from RefSeq and is a predicted model, not a curated record. The transcript is spliced from 4 exons. Lineage: Eukaryota; Metazoa; Chordata; Actinopteri; Cypriniformes; Cyprinidae.